RNAcentral lists this transfer RNA (70 nucleotides) under Dipodomys ordii (Ord's kangaroo rat). It matches the Rfam family "tRNA". From Rfam's summary of the family: Transfer RNA (tRNA) molecules are approximately 80 nucleotides in length. The record is from Rfam by way of RNAcentral. Lineage: Eukaryota; Metazoa; Chordata; Mammalia; Rodentia; Heteromyidae.
GGGAAUGUGGCUUAGUGGUAGAGUGCUUGCCUAGCAUGCAUGAAAUCCUGGGUUUAAUUCCUCAGUACCA